CUACGGGUGGCAGCAGUGAGGAAUUUUGCGCAAUGGGGGAAACCCUGACGCAGCAACGCCGCGUGGGCGAAGAAGGCCUUCGGGUCGUAAAGCUCUGUCAAGUGGGAAAAAAAUCUUUUGAUCAAUAGUCAAAAGACUUGAUGGUACCACUGGAGGAAGCACCGGCUAACUCCGUGCCAGCAGCCGCGGUAAUACGGAGGGUGCAAGCGUUGUUCGGAUUUACUGGGCGUAAAGAGCGUGUAGGCGGUUUAGCAAGUCAGAUGUGAAAGCCCUGGGCUCAACCCGGGAAGUGCAUUUGAAACUGCUUCACUAGAGUAUGGGAGAGGAGAUUGGAAUUCCUGGUGUAGAGGUGAAAUUCGUAGAUAUCAGGAGGAACACCCGUGGCGAAGGCGAUUCUCUGGACCAAUACUGACGCUGAGACGCGAAAGCGUGGGGAGCAAACAGGAUUAGAUACCCGCGUAGUC
RNAcentral lists this ribosomal RNA (464 nucleotides) under uncultured bacterium. Its description in RNAcentral is "partial 16S ribosomal RNA". It matches the Rfam family "Bacterial small subunit ribosomal RNA", at positions 339 to 795 of the family's 1533-position model. The record is from RNAcentral.